This 811-nucleotide ribosomal RNA is filed under the name Azospira oryzae. RNAcentral's name for it is "bacterial SSU rRNA". It matches the Rfam family "Bacterial small subunit ribosomal RNA", at positions 1 to 809 of the family's 1533-position model. The record is from RNAcentral. Lineage: Bacteria; Pseudomonadati; Pseudomonadota; Betaproteobacteria; Rhodocyclales; Rhodocyclaceae.
ACAAUGGAGAGUUUGAUCCUGGCUCAGGAUGAACGCUAGCGGCAGGCCUAAUACAUGCAAGUCGAGGGGUAGAGGAGAGCUUGCUUUCCUUGAGACCGGCGCACGGGUGCGUAACGCGUAUGCAACCUACCCUUUUCUGGGGGAUAGCCCGAAGAAAUUCGGAUUAAUACCGCAUAAGACCACGACACGGCAUCGUGACGGGGUCAAACAUUUAUGGGAGAAGGAUGGGCAUGCGUGCCAUUAGCUAGUUGGCGGGGUAACGGCCCACCAAGGCUACGAUGGCUAGGGGAUCUGAGAGGAUGGCCCCCCACACUGGUACUGAGACACGGACCAGACUCCUACGGGAGGCAGCAGUAAGGAAUAUUGGUCAAUGGGCGCAAGCCUGAACCAGCCAUGCCGCGUGCAGGAAGACGGCCCUCCGGGUUGUAAACUGCUUUUGUACGGGAAUAAACCUUUCUUCGUGAAGAAAGCUGAAUGUACCGUAAGAAUAAGGAUCGGCUAACUCCGUGCCAGCAGCCGCGGUAAUACGGAGGAUCCAAGCGUUAUCCGGAUUUAUUGGGUUUAAAGGGUGCGUAGGCGGCCUGUUAAGUCAGGGGUGAAAGACGGUGGCUCAACCAUCGCAGUGCCCUUGAUACUGAUGGGCUUGAAUGGACUAGAGGUAGGCGGAAUGUGACAAGUAGCGGUGAAAUGCAUAGAUAUGUCACAGAACACCGAUUGCGAAGGCAGCUUACUAUGGUCCUAUUGACGCUGAGGCACGAAAGCGUGGGGAUCGAACAGGAUUAGAUACCCUGGUAGUCCACGCCCUAAACGA